GAGUUUGAUCAUGGCUCAGGAUGAACGCCGACAGAAUGCUUAACACAUGCAAGUCGACUCGAGUCUUCGGACUUGGGUGGCGCACGGGUGAGUAACGCGUAAAGAACUUGCCUCUUAGACCGGGACAACAUCUGGAAACGGAUGCUAAUACCGGAUAUUAUGGUUUUUUCGCAUGGAGGAAUCAUGAAAGCUAGAUGCGCUAAGAGAGAGCUUUGCGUCCCAUUAGCUAGUUGGUGAGGUAACGGCCCACCAAGGCAAUGAUGGGUAGCCGGCCUGAGAGGGUGAACGGCCACAAGGGGACUGAGACACGGCCCUUACUCCUACGGGAGGCAGCAGUGGGGAAUAUUGGACAAUGGACCGCAAGUCUGAUCCAGCAAUUCUGUGUGCACGAUGACGUUUUUCGGAAUGUAAAGUGCUUUCAGUCGGGAAGAA
Molecule: ribosomal RNA, 432 nt
Filed under: Fusobacterium necrophorum
Lineage: Bacteria; Fusobacteriati; Fusobacteriota; Fusobacteriia; Fusobacteriales; Fusobacteriaceae
Description: bacterial SSU rRNA
Rfam family: Bacterial small subunit ribosomal RNA
Source: RNAcentral